RNAcentral lists this ribosomal RNA (374 nucleotides) under uncultured Actinobacteridae bacterium. Its description in RNAcentral is "bacterial SSU rRNA". It matches the Rfam family "Bacterial small subunit ribosomal RNA", at positions 114 to 507 of the family's 1533-position model. Lineage: Bacteria; Bacillati; Actinomycetota; Actinomycetes. The record is from RNAcentral.
CACGUGAGCAACCUACCCUUGACUCUGGGAUAACAGUUGGAAACAGCUGCUAAUACCGGAUAUGAACUCAGCGGGCAUCUGCUGGGCUGGAAAGCUCCGACGGUCAGGGAUGGGCUCGCGGCCUAUCAGCUUGUUGGUGAGGUAAUGGCUCACCAAGGCGACGACGGGUAGCCGGCCUGAGAGGGCGACCGGCCACAUUGGGACUGAGAUACGGCCCAGACUCCUACGGGAGGCAGCAGUGGGGAAUAUCGCACAAUGGGCGAAAGCCUGACGCAGCAACGCCGCGUGCGGGAUGACGGCCUUCGGGUUGUAAACCGCUUUCAGCAGGGACGAAACUGACGGUACCUGCAGAAGAAGCACCGGCUAACUACGUG